CCGCAGGGCGCUCGGUCCCGACCCCGCCCCGCCCCGCCGAGGGUUGCUUGCGGCCGCGCAGGCAGAGCUUCCCGGUCCCCGGGCUGCGGGCGGUGGGUCUCCCGGGACGCGGCGCCGGCUCUGCGUGCCCCGGCGGGGGAGGGGUGGGGGGAGGGGCGCGCGGCCGCGGGUUCCGGAGCCGCGACCUGGCCCGGCGGCCUGCGAGCCUCCCGGGCUCUGCACUCGACCCCGCGCCCGGUGCCCCCGAUCCUCAUCCCGCGCCCCGGAUCGGCGUCCCUGAUGUGUACCCCGAGCCCCUUAUCCACAUCCGUAAUCCGCACCCCGGUUCCUGCCCGGCACUGGUCGGAGAGUAGGCGCGGGAGGGAGGCGGCGGCGCGGCUUGACACCUGGGCUGUGGGACCCAGUGCGCUGCCGCCUCUGCCACCUUCCGGUCCUGCCCGGGCCAGCCAGGUGAAAACCGGAGCUGCUUGUCAAGUGGUUUGGCUCCGGGCGUGUUCCUGGCGCGAGUUCAGCUCCCGGACCGGUGCGUUUCUGCGCUCGGGUUUUUCAUUCGAAACUUUCUGCUCGGGUCGAGCGUUACUUGCGUGCUGCGGCUGCGCCUAGGUCGCUCGCUGCAGUGGGCGGUGGGUGUGUGCGCGGGCGGGUCCCGCGUGGUGCUCGGGACUGGAUCCACCAGCUAUGAUGUUUCAAAUGUGCCAGCGCCAGCCACCUCCAGCCUGGACGUGCAGCCCAGCUGGGCAGCUGCUGUCGCAGAAGCCUUUCCCCGAGAGCUGGGUUUUCCUAGGCGUCAGAGCGCCGCCGCGUGUUCCUCUUUCCUGUCUGGGUCUCCUGGACCAGCUAUCAACAUCUUUGCUCACAUUGUUUGCCUCGCUGUUCCUUUUGCAAGAAAUUUGUGUGUGGUAUCUUUGGUACUAUGGAGUCACCUUUAAUAAAAUUCCGAAAUAUUUGUCUAUCUUUAUUUUGCAAGGGGUGGGAUAACCCUCUGCUCGCCUAGGUGGCGGUGGUUAUAAUCCGCAUUGGCCCUAGUCUCAGCCCAGCGGGGAGUUCCCACCCAUUUGGUGGCAUCUAGGAAAACUGAUGGUUUGGAGGUAUUUUACAACAGGAUUGUUUUAAUUCAAAAUAGAAUAUAACUUGAGUCUAUUUAUAGGACUUCUUAAGAUGUGGAUAUAUACGAAAAAAUAUUUUUAGGCAAAAAGACUUGAAAACUGGAAGGUAAAAAUUGAAAAUUUAAAAAAGUUUUUAUUAUUCUGUGUGUGUGUUUGGGUUUGGAUGUGCAAGAGCCUUGACACCUGUGGAAGUCAAGGAACAACUUUCAGCAUUUACUUCUCUGACCUUCGGGAACUGAGCAGGGUCGGGCCUGGUUAGUACUCAAAUGGGAGACUACCUGGGAAUACUGGGCCUGUAGGCUCAAGGAAAAAAAAAAGAAUCGAUUCUCUGUUAUGUGUAGGACUGGGUGAUCGACUGGGGUAUGGUGAUAAGCAUCGUUAACUUGUGAGCUGUCUCCCUGGCUCCCAUAUCAGAUAUGGGAUAUUUAAAAAUUGAACUCAAUGUAGGCUUCUGAUAGUUUAAGAUGCUUUUUAAAAACUAGCACUAUUUCUGAGGCAGUGAUGGUGCAGCCUUUAAUUCCAGCAUUGGGGAGGCAGAGGCAGGCAAAUCUUGAAGUUUUGAGGCGAGCCUGGUCUACAAGAGCUAGUUCCAGGACAGCCGGGGCUACACAGAGAAGCCCUGUUUCACCUUCCCCAGUCCUUAAAAAGAAGUGUUAUCACAGGGCUGAAGAGAUGGCCCCAUGGUCAAGAGCUCCCUGCUCUUGCAGUGGAACCUGGUUUAGUUCCCAGCACCAAAAUGAUGGCUCACAACCGUUUGUGUCUCCAGUUCUAGGGGAUCUGAUGCCUUCAGCUCUGAUGGGCAGCUGCAUACAUGUGUUAAACAUGUAGGCAAGAGUCAUAAAAGUAAACCUUAAAAAGCAGUGCUGGUUCAAACUAUUCAAAACCCUAUUUUUUUUCCCUUCGGUGAACCAUCAAAAUUCAGUAGAUCCCUGAGUGAGUGCUGGGGCUUAAUUGUAGCUUUUAGCACAAGGCAUUGUCAGUGUUGGGGUGGGGUGGGGGUGGGGGUGAGAGCAGCCUGUCAUCCAUGGUAAAUGGAAAACUGCCUUCUAGGUUCACUGAAUAGCCCUGGGGAGAAGGGACCUCAGGAAGCUGGGGGGGUCUUAGGCUCUCUUCACUUCACAGGCUCCCCAGACAGGUUAGAAUCACCUGCCUUGUUUGGAUCCACAUUCAGGAGUCCUGAUGGUGAGUGUUUUUGCAUUUUAAGUCUGGAGGAGAUGAGUUUCAAACUGUGGUGGUGACUGGCAAACUUGAGCGAUGUGGCGAUGUGGCGGGGCCUGGCCUGAUGCAGUGUGACCUGCAUUUGUCACUAUCUCCUCCUUAUGUGCAAACUGACUUCUUUGAUCUUAGUUCAUUUGGUUCUGUGAAUUGCACUCAUAUGCAGUGUUUAUAAAGUCCAGCUUGUCUCCCGUUUGACCCUCCCUGCUGUGGGCCUUGAGGUGUGGGACCAUGCUGUGGUAAGAGCUUACUCUUAAGUACUUCAGAACUGGUAGUUGCCAGGAGUGUUUUCUGAGUCGAACUUCCAUCUCAGAGUGUUCCAAUGAGUGCACCUGGUCAUUUUGCUGUUUUGACAGUAUGGGGAGCAUGGAGUUACUAUAUUGCCAUUCAGUCAUUAAGUAGAUUUUGUUUGCAUUAAUUAUUGAUUAAUUGAUGGAUUGAUUGGGACAGAGUCUCCAUGACACAGUUCUCCUGCCUCAGCCUGGGUAUUGCUGAGAUUACUGGUAUGCACCAUCACACUUCAAUUGCACAAGCUGCAGAGGCUCCUGAGUGUAGGCACGUGCUCUGCCAAGGACUGUGUGUCCAGUCCCAUGACUUACUGAGACAACAAAAGUAUAACAUCUUUUAGAGAUCUGGGUGUGGUGGUAUGCUCUUAUAGGCCCAGGUGCUUAUGGAGGCUGAGACAGGAGGAUUUCUUAAACCCUCAAGUAUAUGGUCAUCCUGGGCAGCAAGGAGACUUGGUUUUAAAAAACAUGGUGUUUGUUUUUAACAUUUUGGUGCGAGAGAUGGAACCCAGGGCCUCAUCCACCCUCAUUUAUGAUCCUUUUGUACAAGGUGGUAUAGGUCAAGUCUUACUGUCAGUGUGACUUUGGUUUGGGUUUCUUUCACUUAGUGUACUUCCCUGUCCUGUUUUGGCAUGUCUCUUCUUUUUUUUUUUUUUCUUUUCUUUUUUUUUCGGAGCUGGGGACCGAACCCAGGGCCUUUCGCUUGCUAGGCAAGCGCUCUACCACUGAGCCAAAUCCCCAACCCCGUCUCUUCUUUAUAUAUCCAACAACAGUACAUCCUAUUGAUUGAGUUCUACUUAUAUAACCAUCGUUUGGUCCUGUUCCACAAUAUCACAGAGUAGUGCUUGACCAUGCUCUCUCUCACACACACCCAAACACACGUGCACACACCCUCCCUCCCUUGUGUUGGGUCUUUACCCACUGAGCCAUCUUCCCAGCCUGUAAACAAUAUUGUGUAGGAAAGACAUCUCCUUGGGAGCUGGGCUGGUUUUCAGAGGCCGAGGAGGGUGUAUUUCAGGGCACCUGCAGUUUGUUAAUGAGGCAUUGUCUUAAAAUAAGCGAAGGACUGACAACACUAAGAAGGUAUUUGGCUUUCACUGUUGCUAAAUGAAUCUUUCCUACUGUUUAGUGUUAUGUUUUAUCACUUGUGUGGAUUUGUGUAGGCACCGGAAGCAGCAGGCAGAUCUGUUUCAGUGCGCAGUCCCUGCAGCACUGAUGUUUUUGAAACUUUGAGAAUGUUAGUAAACAAAGCUAUACAGUAUCAAGAUGUAACUUUUUGACACUUAGACUUUUUUUUUCUCUCUGCAUACCUUUUUGUUGUUGUUGAACAGGCCCUCACCAUUUAGUCCUUGGUAGCCUGAAUGUGUUAUGUAUACUGGGUUUGUCAGGAACUCAAUGGGACCAGCCUAUCUUUGCCUCCCAGGACUAAAGCUGUGUACCUCCAAGCAGGCACUCUCUGCACGUCUUCGAGGCUUUUCCACAGUGUUGUCUAGAGCAGUAGUUCCAGCUCCUUUUUUUGUGGGUGCUUGGCAUGAAAACAGAGUCUUAGCUUGCUAACAAAGCAUCAGAACACGUAGCAAUACUGCCUUGCCCCCUACUCUGAGUUUGAGACAGGGUUUCCUGUAACUCAGGCUGCCAUGAACUUGCUGUGCAGUUGAGGAUGACCUUGAAUUCCCGAUAGUCCCUAGGAACCUAGGUGCCUGGGCCUUCCAGCCAGCACCUUUAUCUGAUGAGCCAUUCUGCUAGCCUGAGUUUAACUGUAGACAGCAUCCUGAGUCUGUGUGUCUGCGUGUGCAUUGCAUGCCUACAGGAGCUCAUAGACAUCAGAGGGUGUGGAUUACCACGUAGUACUGGCAACCAAGCAUGGGUCUUCGGCAAGAAAGUAAACGACUGAGGCACCUCUUCAGCACCCUAAGUUUGUUUACCUUGUAUAGGGGCAUAUUAAAGUCGGAGAGCUGGAGAGAAGUAGGCGGCCCAGCAGGUAAGAGCACUGGCUGCUCUUUCAGAGGACCCAGGUUUAUUUCCUAGCA
Molecule: non-coding RNA, 4635 nt
Organism: Rattus norvegicus (Norway rat)
Lineage: Eukaryota; Metazoa; Chordata; Mammalia; Rodentia; Muridae
Source: RefSeq, a predicted model, not a curated record